Molecule: small nucleolar RNA, 130 nt
Filed under: Myotis lucifugus (little brown bat)
Lineage: Eukaryota; Metazoa; Chordata; Mammalia; Chiroptera; Vespertilionidae
Source: RNAcentral
AUUUUUAUUUUGAAAAGAGCUUAUUUUCUGUAGACCUACAUCAUUGGAAACACACCAUAGAGUAAAUAUUUUGUUUCCUUUAUUCACAGACCUAUUUGUUAGAUCUGUGGGAAGAAAAAAGAAUGCUGCU